UACGUAGGUGGCAAGCGUUAUUCGGAAUUAUUGGGCGUAAAGAGCGCGCAGGCGGUUGAUUAAGUCUGAUGUGAAAGCCCACGGCUUAACCGUGGAGGGUCAUUGGAAACUGGUCGACUUGAGUGCAGAAGAGGGAAGUGGAAUUCCAUGUGUAGCGGUGAAAUGCGUAGAGAUAUGGAGGAACACCGGUGGCGAAGGCGGCUUCCUGGGCUGUAACUGACGCUGAGGCGCGAAAGCGUGGGGAGCAAACAGG
This 253-nucleotide ribosomal RNA is filed under the name uncultured bacterium. RNAcentral's name for it is "partial 16S ribosomal RNA". It matches the Rfam family "Bacterial small subunit ribosomal RNA", at positions 524 to 776 of the family's 1533-position model. The record is from RNAcentral.